GGCGAACGGGUGAGUAAUACAUCGGAACAUUUCCAGUAGCGGGGGAUAACCUGUCGAAAGAUAGGCUAAUACCGCAUACGAUCUACGGAUGAAAGCGGGGGACCGCAAGGCCUCGCACUAUUGGAGUGGCCGAUGUCGGAUUAGCUAGUUGGUGGGGUAAAAGCCUACCAAGGCGACGAUCCGUAGCUGGUCUGAGAGGACGAUCAGCCACACUGGAACUGAGACACGGUCCAG
This 234-nucleotide ribosomal RNA is filed under the name uncultured bacterium. RNAcentral's name for it is "partial 16S ribosomal RNA". It matches the Rfam family "Bacterial small subunit ribosomal RNA", at positions 97 to 334 of the family's 1533-position model. The record is from RNAcentral.